AGCGAACGCUGGCGGCAGGCUUAACACAUGCAAGUCGAGCGGGCGUAGCAAUACGUCAGCGGCAGACGGGUGAGUAACGCGUGGGAACGUACCUUUUGGUUCGGAACAACACAGGGAAACUUGUGCUAAUACCGGAUAAGCCCUUACGGGGAAAGAUUUAUCGCCGAAAGAUCGGCCGCGUCUGAUUAGCUAGUUGGUGAGGUAACGGCUCACCAAAGGCGACGAUCAGUAGCUAGUCUGAGAGGAUGAUCAGCCACAUUGGGACUGAGACACGGCCCAAACUCCUACGGGAGGCAGCAGUGGGGAAUAUUGGACAAUGGGGGCAACCUCGAUCCAGACCAUGCCGCGUGAGUGAUGAAGGCCCUAGGGUUGUUAAAGACUCUUUGUUGCGGGAAGAUAAUGACGGUACCGCAAGAAUAAGA
RNAcentral lists this ribosomal RNA (422 nucleotides) under uncultured bacterium. Its description in RNAcentral is "bacterial SSU rRNA". It matches the Rfam family "Bacterial small subunit ribosomal RNA", at positions 29 to 491 of the family's 1533-position model. The record is from RNAcentral.